ACUCAAUAGAUACCCAGGUAGUCCACGCCCUAAACGAUGAGAGCUAGACGUUGGGAUUUAUCUCAGUGUCGCAGUUAAACACGAUAAGCUCUCCGCCUGGGAAGUACUGUCGCAAGACUAAAACUCAAAGGAAUUGACGGGGACCCGCACAAGCGGUGGAACAUGUGGUUUAAUUCGAAGGUACGCGAAAAACCUUACCAGCCCUUGACAUGAUUAAUCGCCGGCUUGAGAAAUCAGGCCUUCAUUUAGUUGGAUUUUUCACAGGUGCUGCAUGGCCGUCGUCAGCUCGUGUCGUGAGAUGUUCGGUUAAGUCCGAUAACGAGCGCAACCCUCAUCCCUAGUUGCUAACAGGUAAAGCUGAGUUCUUUAGGGAAACUGACGGUGAUAAAAACCGUAGAAGGUGGGGACGAAGUCAGGUACGCAUGGCCCUUAUGGGCUGGGCUACACAUGUGUUACAAUGGGAACUACAAAAAGAAGCAAGUGGGCGACCAUGAGCCAAUCUACAAAAGUUCUCUUAGUUCGGAUCGGUCUCUGAAACUCGGGACCGUGAAGUU
This 554-nucleotide ribosomal RNA is filed under the name uncultured bacterium. RNAcentral describes it as "bacterial SSU rRNA". It matches the Rfam family "Bacterial small subunit ribosomal RNA", at positions 772 to 1327 of the family's 1533-position model. The record is from RNAcentral.